This 334-nucleotide ribosomal RNA is filed under the name uncultured eukaryote. RNAcentral's name for it is "partial 18S ribosomal RNA". It matches the Rfam family "Eukaryotic small subunit ribosomal RNA", at positions 1470 to 1796 of the family's 1831-position model. The record is from RNAcentral.
CCCUUAGAUGUUCUGGGCCGCACGCGCGCUACACUGAUGAAUUCAACGAGCUCCUAACCUAGGCCGAAGGGUCCGGGUAAUCUUUGAAAUUUCAUCGUGAUGGGGAUAGAUUAUUGCAAUUAUUAAUCUUCAACGAGGAAUUCCUAGUAAACGCGCGUCAUCAACGCGCAUUGAAUUAGUCUAUGCCCUUUGUACACACCGCCCGUCGCUACUACCGAUUGAAUGGUUUAGUGAGGCUCGUGGAUUGCUGUCUGUGAGUGGCAACGCUCAUAUUUAUUUUGAUGGUAAGAAACGAUCCAAACUUGAUCAUUUAGAGGAAGUAAAANUCGUANCA